GCUGCAUCUAUGCCUGCUUUGAUUUCCGAGCUGGUCCUCCAUAUUUUGCUUUCUCCUCUGUUAACAGUAUUUUCAUCACGGCACCGUAUAUUUACUGAGUUUGUGAUAAUUUUCAUAGCACGUUAACACGUGUGAGUAAAUCUUGCAGGUCCAUACAGGACACUUGACGCUUCCAUGCAACAAGGUGGCCCGAUGAAGCCGCCACGUGGCCCGAUUAUGCCGCCACGUGGCCCUGUCAAGCCACCACGUGGCCCGGUCAAGCCACCACCUGGCCCGAUGAAGCCACCACGUGGCCCGGUCAAGCCACCACCUGGAAAGAAGCCACCUCCCGGGUCACAGUAAUGCUUACAAGUGGAAUUGUGAAAUCCCUUGAGAAUGGAACACUACGGAUUAGAAGCCAGUAAAGUGUCGACCGACAGCUAGUAGUAUCUUUAUU
RNAcentral lists this long non-coding RNA (436 nucleotides) under Populus trichocarpa (black cottonwood). RNAcentral describes it as "long non-coding RNA (PTRI_LNC003879)". Lineage: Eukaryota; Viridiplantae; Streptophyta; Magnoliopsida; Malpighiales; Salicaceae. The record is from RNAcentral.